Macrobrachium nipponense is the source of this 6933-nucleotide RNA transcript. It is a transcript of the gene named potassium voltage-gated channel protein Shaw-like, with no coding region annotated. NCBI's taxonomy places the organism in Eukaryota, Metazoa, Arthropoda, Malacostraca, Decapoda, Palaemonidae. The record is from RefSeq and is a predicted model, not a curated record. The transcript is spliced from 7 exons.
AAGAGAGUGGGUGGUGGGGGGGCAGAUCGGUCGCUACCACCUGACCCACUCCCCCCCUAUCUCCUCCCCUCCCAAACGACAACAUCCACUCCCCAUCCUACCCACCCGCCCACCCCGAGCUAAAGAGGCGUCGUUGUGGGGCAUCACACCGAAGCAGAAGAAGAAGAAACCAGCCGAAGGAGAGGCGGCCACAAGUUGAUCAGCCAUGGACUCUGAGAACCGGGUUGUGCUUAAUGUUGGAGGCAUUAGGCAUGAGACCUACAAGGCGACGCUGAAGAAGAUUCCUGCCACCCGUCUAUCGAGGCUCACGGAAGCUCUUGCCAACUAUGACCCCAUCCUUAACGAGUACUUCUUCGACAGGCAUCCUGGUGUUUUUGCUCAGGUCCUCAAUUAUUACCGAACGGGGAAGCUACACUAUCCGACGGAUGUCUGUGGUCCCCUUUUCGAGGAAGAGCUCGAGUUUUGGGGUCUUGACUCCAAUCAAGUCGAGCCAUGCUGCUGGAUGACUUACACAGCGCAUCGAGACACUCAGGAGACCCUUGCAGUCUUAGACAGGUUAGAUUUGGACACAGACAAACCAAGUGAUGAAGAAACAGCCAGGAAAUUUGGCUUUGAGGAUGACUACUUCAAUGGGACUCUCAAUUGGUGGCAGAAGACUAAACCUAAACUAUGGUCGCUCUUCGAUGAGCCUUACUCCUCGCAGGCAGCCAAGGUAAUUGGUGUCAUCUCAGUCUUCUUCAUCUGUGUCUCCAUCCUGUCCUUUUGCCUCAAGACGCAUCCAGAUAUGCGAGUUCCUGUUAUUGAGAAUGUCACUGUUACAACUGCAGAGAACACUACAGCUUGGACUCUCGACAAGAAAGCAACCAAUGCCCAUGAGGCCUUUUUCUAUAUUGAAUGUGUCUGUAACACUUGGUUUACCUUUGAGAUCUUGAUAAGAUUCAUUGCUUCGCCCAACAAGUUAAUGUUUUUGAGAGCCUCAGUGAAUAUGAUAGACUUCAUUGCCACACUGAGCUUCUAUGUGGAUAUACUCCUCCAGAAAUUUGCUUCUCAUCUAGAGAAUGCUGACAUCUUAGAAUUCUUUAGCAUUAUUCGUAUCAUGAGACUGUUUAAGCUUACACGGCACUCAUCGGGCCUCAAGAUCCUAAUACAGACUUUCCGAGCAUCAGCCAAAGAGUUGACCCUCCUUGUGUUUUUCUUGGUGCUGGGUAUAGUGAUCUUUGCCUCUCUUGUGUACUACGCUGAGAGGAUACAAGCAAACCCACACAACGAUUUCAACAGCAUCCCGCUUGGUCUCUGGUGGGCUCUAGUCACUAUGACUACUGUAGGUUAUGGUGACAUGGCACCAAAAACUUAUGUAGGAAUGUUUGUGGGUGCCCUGUGUGCUUUGGCUGGUGUGUUGACAAUUGCACUACCAGUGCCUGUGAUUGUUUCAAACUUUGCUAUGUACUACAGUCACACGCAAGCAAGAGCCAAGUUGCCUAAGAAGAGGCGAAGAGUCCUGCCAGUGGAGCAUGUUCGUGUUGGACUACCUAUAGCAGCUCCCCCGAAGCAUGGAGGACCCAAUGCCAUGAAUCGUAACCCAGGACCUAAAAUGGGCAACGAUGCCCCUAAUUCCACGACUAAUGGUACAUCUAAAGGUAGUGACAUGCCCUCAAACAAAAUUACUGGGUUCUAAGAGGUCCAGCAGCCACACCCAGCCCACCAUGGCAGAUGUUAUCAUGUGUUGUGGCCACCACAAGGGAAAGUAAAUGGUUGUUUUGUACCAUAAGCUGUUGUAAAUUGAUUCCAAAUGACAAAAAAAAAAUCAUAAAGAAUAUCAAUAACAAAUCCCGUAAAACCAUCUCCUCCCUCACAUGAGUUCCAUUCAUGGACUAAGAGUUCGUGUCUCGUAACAACAGCCCAACGGAGAACCUUUAUCCCAAAUGAGCUCUCACCAGAGGGCACUUUACAACCAGAUCUAUCGUGUUUAAACCUUUAAAAGCAGACAAACAAAGUAGCAGUUAAACCAAAUUAUCCUUCCAUGUAAUACCUUCAUACCUUUCAUUAAGUACUGUACUUUGCUUCUGUAAAAGUACUGCCUUUACUGAGAUUGGUGCCAUACUUAUGUUAAGAGUGUUAAUUGUGAGGUGUACAGUGUCUUCUCUUCUGGGAGUUUUUUUCUUAAGGAAAUUACUCUGAAAUUAUAAUGAGUAUAAUAUUCAUAUUUACCUUGAUAUGUGUUCAUUAUUAAAAAAGCUUUUCAUUGUAGCCCCCCAAAGUUAUUAGCCUUAAUUAUUUUACUCUACGUUCUUUACACUGUCAACGGCAUCAGUUAAUCAGAAGUAUGUGACUGUGACUAUGACUGCACACCCAAGAACACAUUUGAUCACAACUUGAGAGGUCUAGGGCAAUAAAAACUUCUAAUUUUCCAAAAGCAGAAAAAAUCCUGGUUUGUUAACUUAGAAAACACAAUGUAGAAACAUUGACAACACCUAUUUGUUGGUAGUCUUACUUAUUGCAAAUUUAUUCAGUUCUGCAGUUUGUAUUCCUGGUUACUAUAUAUACAUAUGUAGAAUAAGUAUCCUAUAAAGAGUAAAUAUUUUGUUUAAUGUUCUUAAUUAUUAUAGAAAUUACAGUAUACAUACGGACUUAUCUUACAAGGCUUUAGAAGUACUGUAUGAUGAAUAAUUAGCAUAUAUAGUACUACAAGUUAUGCAAAAAUAAGUACAUACUGAAAGAGGAUAGAGAAAGGGUAAACAUGAUGACCUUUUACCCUUGUAGAACUUUGAGGAAAAGGUUAUGUUGGGAGUUGCACAGUCCCUUGAUGAAAUUAUUUGCAGCUAAGUACAGUAACUGGAGAAUUUAAUUCAAACCAUCAGUUUCAGUUUUAGAAAUAUAGUAGUCUUGUUUUGAUCAAGUAACAAGGUAAGGUAUAUCCUGAUGCUCAAAGGCAUACCAAGUGCGUAAAUGGUAUCUUGUAUAUACGGAUUUGUUUUAUUUGUUGAAUUUGUGCAGGCUUUUACUGUAGUUAAAGGUACUAUUACUUCUUAUGCUGUUUUCCACUUGGAUGCACUUUUUAUUUUAUCAGAUAUGAAUGUUUGCGUAAGCUUAGCAUGCAACUGAGAAUAAGGAUUUAAGUGAGGUGUUUUACCAUAUUAGGCCCUUUAUGACAGAACUCCAGGAGUGUUUAUAGUUACAAAAUGCUGUAGAGUAAAGCUUAAGGUGCUGCUGCUGUAAAUGCUAUAAUUCAACAUAUGCUUUGUAAUGAAAUAGUGCUUUAGGGUUUGAAUUCAGCAUCAUCAAAGUUUAAAGAAUUCAGCACCCAUCCUCUUUGGAGUAGAAUAGUGGAUUCCAACAUUUAUUAGACAUCCAUUCAGAAUGAUCAUUGUUGUAAGUAAUGCAGUGCUAAAAAGAUAAGGUUUUGCAGGAUUCAUGUUUGACAGACACCUCAGAUGUUCAUAUGAAAUACUGGUGUUAAUUAUACAUUGUAAUUGUGAUUUAAUAUCACUGAAGCAUUAUUCACGACAGCCGUUUUAGAUGGUCAGCUACCUACUGUUUACAGAAGUAUUUUAACAUAGGUUGCUUGAAGCUCAUAUGAUUUGUGAAGUGUACAAAGCUCUUAUAGGCACAUGUGCCUUUAAACUUUUUGUUCAUAUCAGUCUCUGAUUUUUUUUUAGGUUAUUUGGGAUGUUUUCUGUAAUCAAAAGAAAAUUAUAGAAAAAUUGUACUUAAACUUUAUUGCAGUGAACAAAAUCACAAACAGAAAAUUGUAGAUUUCUUUUUUAGUACAACAGAACCCUGUGAUAGUAUACAUAAAUCUCAGGAUUAAGUGACUGUCAGCAUAUAACAGCAAUAGCUGAGACUGAGUUAAUUACUGAAAAAUUUUAAUGAAAACUUUUAAGUGGGUUCAAUUCUAAGUUUUGUUAGAGGAAGGACACAUAAACUUUGAAAAUUAUUUAUCCCUUCAUAUUAGUAUUACGUACUCUGUUAGGUAAAGAAAAAAAACCUGUUGGGCAUGAUAUACACAAUCAUGAUUGAGCAAUGUCUAAAGAUAGAAUAUCAAUACUCAAUCGUUAUGCAGUUCUAUAUUAGGCUUUUGUUGCAUCUUGCACUAUUGCUGUUGCUUCUGGAAGUACAAAUACAGGGUUUGUUUCCCUUUUUUCAACUUGAGACCAUCAUCAAAUGAUCUAGAAUACAGCAUAUACAGUUGAUGUAUUCUUUAUUAUUUGGCUUUCAUAGAUAGCAGUGAAAAUUAACUGACUAUUCUCUUAGUAUUCAGUCAGAUUUUGAUAUAGUAUUUGGAAUUGUUUCAUCAAUUUGUGGUGCAUUGAUGUAUGAACAGAAUUAUUAGUUUAUGAAUAAAGAAUUGCAAUUUUCCAAGUAUUUUGACAAAAUGAACAUAGAUCAUAAUACCAUGGUUAUUCUUCAGGAAGAUUUUUUUAACUAGGUAUCUUAACAUUACAGAAAUUUGGACCCAACAGGUAAACAAAUUCUCAAAUGUUUAUUUGGAUGGUAGAUCAUCAUGAUUUAAACAGCGCCUUCAAAUGAAUUCUAGUUUUAUGGACUGUGCUUCUUCUCUGGAGUUUCUGCAAGAUGAGCACUUAGGGUUAUUUAGUCGCAGAUGAAGAUUUUUUUAUUAGAAUAUUGUUUUGUAUGUUUUGGCACUUAAGAAUAGAUCUUCCUUGAGUAUUACUGUUUUUGUUACUGACGAAUGUGAAAGAAUAUGUUUGAAACCAUGUCAGUAUUUUAACAAAGUCUGGAAAUGUACAUUAUAAAUGUUGUACUAGUUCUUUUGUAAGAUAACUUUAAGGAAUAGAUAGCUAAUGCAGUCUCUUGAAAGAAAUGUAGUUUAAAUUAAAACAUUCAGAGAGCUUCCAAGUUAUUUUAAAACUCUGGUCUAUUCAGUUUUUAUUAACUUAUAUUUAUUGUGUUACUGUAUUGAUUAUGUAAACAUGUCCCCUGAGAAACACUGUACAUGCUCAUAACAUUUUAGGGAGAGUUUCUUCAAGGUACUGUGCUGCCAUCUUACAGUGUAGGAGCUGCAUGGUUUUAAGCACACCUUUAUCAGGUAAGAUUAGGAUAUCUCAUCAGUUUAGUUCAUUAUUAUUGUGUGAAUUCACAUGCUAAUGAAUAACACUCUAUAAUUUAAGUAUGGCACAGUAUUGGCAUCGUAUUGCGCUACCCUAUCAUAGAACUGCUGUUUUCCCUGUUAAGUACUGUACUGUAGUCUUUCUCUACUAAGCACGAUAACAGGUAAUAAGUCUUCUUCAGAAUUUACAGAUCCUAUAAGAAAAUCUGCCAGUCAACCAUUACACUUCGUUGCUCUUAGGCAACUCCGAUCUUUGACAAAACAAAAUCUUACUUUUAGUGAUUAAUAUAUUUGUAUCCUUAUGUUAUGAUUAAUUUUCUCACAAAAUUUACCAGUACAAUUAUAGCUCAUUGUGAGACUUAUAAGUGUUACAGUACAUGGUUAUUAUUUGUUUUUUUUUUAGAUGAUUUACAAUUUCUUUUAUUCCUACCACAGUUAUUCACUGAACUCUGUAAGUGUUGGCAUUAAACAGAAAAGUAGGAAGUACAUUGUUAUUUCUUCCCGAGUGGGAAUUUUCGUAUUUAAAAACUAAGUUUACACAAAUUUACAUGUUAACACUGUUAUUCCACACUAAAUUAGGUUGAAAUCAAAUAUAUCUCUGAUAAGCAUACAGAUUUAUGCAGCAGUUAUCAUAGAAAUAACAAAAGACUGUGUAAAGUAAAUUUAGAAGUGAACUCAUGCACUCCAAGAAUAGGACAUCCUUGGGAACAACAGCAAAGUGUUUUAGCAUGUUCUAAUAUGGCAAAUAUUACAUUAUUUCUAGAAAUGAUUUUGUACAUAUUUGUGUGGUGAUUACUACCCCAACUCUAUCAAUUUGAUCAUGAAAAUAUUCGAAACUUCUGAUCUUAUCUAGACUACUCACACCCCCAUCUUUACACGAUUCAUUAUUAUAAGCAUUUCUAGAGGAUUGCCGACAGUUGCAGCAUGGUAAUGAUUUGGGUUUAAUUAUACCAUUUGUAUGAUUCUUAUAAAUUUAUAUAAUUGUUGUAUUAUCAUCUGGACUGGUACAUUUUUUUAGUCCUACACAUGGCUCUUUAAAUAGUGCCUGAAAAGUGUAGCACUUUGAUUAGUGAAAUACUUUCUACCAUUACUACCACUUACUCUUCUCUGUGAGACAACGAACAAGAAAAUCUCCACCAAGAUAGGUAUCCAGUAUAAAAAGGAAGGCUGCCAUGUCCAUAUCUAUCGUUUGUGCAUAGCCUUAUGUAGAAUAUCAUUUGGAACACCUGAAAUCUGCCUGCAUUUUCUCAUGGUUUAGAAGUUCAGACCCAUUUUGUCUUGCAUUGUUUUGUUUUUGUUGCUUACAGUGAUUUGUUUUUAACUCUUGUUUAUAAGAAAAUGCACACAGAGAGUAUUGUGUAUUGUAGAUAUUCUUAUAAAUGUAUAUAUAUUUAUAUAUAUAUACACAUCAAUACAUAUACAGUAUAUAAAAUAUCAUACUUGUAAUUAUGUAAUGAUUUAGCCUAGCUAGCGCUGUACAAUGAGGAACCCAAGCUAAGGCCCCUGCCAUGAUGCAGUACUGCUUCUAGUGUAGAUGUGGCAUGUGUGGGAGGAGAAAACCUCUCAGACUAGAUUAUAUGUAUUUAUUUUGAUGGAAAUUGAUGUCUUCUGAUUUAACAGCCAUUUUGUUCAUGUAUGUCUAGAUGUAGCAAGUGUGGCAGCAUGCUGGCAGCGCGGCUGCAAUGUGUGUAGCGCUAACACCACUGUAUCUCUCCCUCUCUCUUACAGUCGGCAUGGGCAUGGGUCUGUCUGUUACCUUGAACCCCAAUGGCGUAGGCUUAGAGACGGCCCUCAAGGCCCCACUAUUAUCCCAGACGGGGGCAUGUGGGGGUCCCACUGCCCCUCUUCAACCACUUUUCCCCAUU